CGUAUCACCCAAGACAACUUUACGGAGUUGACGAUUGACGGAGCGAAGCGACGUCAAAGCGUUCAUUAAAGUCGAGUUGGCUUAGGGAUACGUUCGUUGGGUAGGGGAGCGUUCUGUAAGCCUGUGAAGGUGUGUCGUGAGGCAUGCUGGAGGUAUCAGAAGUGCGAAUGCUGACAUAAGUAACGAUAAAGCGGGUGAAAAGCCCGCUCGCCGGAAGACCAAGGGUUCCUGUCCAACGUUAAUCGGGGCAGGGUGAGUCGACCCCUAAGGCGAGGCCGAAAGGCGUAGUCGAUGGGAAACGGGUUAAUAUUCCCGUACUUGGUGUUACUGCGAAGGGGGGACGGAGAAGGCUAUGUUGGCCGGGCGACGGUUGUCCCGGUUUAAGCGUGUAGGUGUGUGUUCCAGGUAAAUCCGGUUCACUUUAACACUGAGGCGUGACG
Molecule: ribosomal RNA, 440 nt
Filed under: Salmonella enterica subsp. enterica
Lineage: Bacteria; Pseudomonadati; Pseudomonadota; Gammaproteobacteria; Enterobacterales; Enterobacteriaceae
Also listed under: 1 other name
Description: partial 23S ribosomal RNA
Rfam family: Bacterial large subunit ribosomal RNA
Source: RNAcentral